CCUUAACCUGCUAAAUAGUUGCGUUCACUUUGGUGGACGAUUUCAGCUUCUUAGAGGGACUACGAAUGUUUAAUUCGUGGAAGUUUGAGGCAAUAACAGGUCUGUGAUGCCCUUAGAUGUUCUGGGCCGCACGCGCGCUACACUGACGAAGGCAGCAAGUAUUCACCUUGACCGGAAGGUCUGGGUAAUCUUUUGAAACUUUGUCGUGCUGGGGAUAGUCCCUUGCAAUUAUUGGACUUUAACGAGGAAUUCCUAGUAAGCGCAAGUCAUCAGCUUGCGUUGAUUACGUCCCUGCCCUUUGUACACACCGCCCGUCGCUACUACCGAUUGAAUGGCUUAGUGAGACCUCCGGAUCGACGCCUUUUGGGCGGCAACGCUUGAGAGAUGUUGAGAAGUUGGUCAAACUUGGUCAUUUAGAGGAAGUAAAAGUCG
Molecule: ribosomal RNA, 432 nt
Filed under: Chytridiomycota sp.
Lineage: Eukaryota; Fungi; Chytridiomycota
Description: SSU rRNA
Rfam family: Eukaryotic small subunit ribosomal RNA
Source: RNAcentral